GUACGGAGGAUGCGAGCGUUAUCCGGAUUUAUUGGGUUUAAAGGGAGCGUAGGUGGGAUAUUAAGUCAGCUGUGAAAGUUUGGGGCUCAACCUUAAAAUUGCAGUUGAUACUGGUUUCCUUGAGUACGGUACAGGUGGGCGGAAUUCGUGGUGUAGCGGUGAAAUGCUUAGAUAUCACGAAGAACUCCGAUCGCGAAGGCAGCUCACCGGGCCGGAACUGACACUGAUGCUCGAAAGUGCGGGUAUCAAACAGGAUUAGAUACCCUGGUAGUCCGCACAGUAAACGAUGAAUACUCGCUGUUUGCGAUACACUGUAAGCGGCCAAGCGAAAGCGUUAAGUAUUCCACCUGGGGAGUACGCCGGCAACGGUGAAACUCAAAGGAAUUGACGGGG
Molecule: ribosomal RNA, 393 nt
Filed under: uncultured bacterium
Lineage: Bacteria
Description: partial 16S ribosomal RNA
Rfam family: Bacterial small subunit ribosomal RNA
Source: RNAcentral